Ictalurus punctatus (channel catfish) is the source of this 2508-nucleotide long non-coding RNA. RefSeq lists it as uncharacterized. The record is from RefSeq and is a predicted model, not a curated record. The transcript has 3 exons. NCBI's taxonomy places the organism in Eukaryota, Metazoa, Chordata, Actinopteri, Siluriformes, Ictaluridae.
UAACAAAAGGCAUAACUCAGCCACAGGAAAGAAGCAGAAAGGACCGACCAAUAAGGAAGAGGUGUCAGAUCUGCCCAAGUUCCAAAGACCACAAAGUCAGUAAUAGGUGUGGGAAAUGCAAUGUACCAGUGUGCAAUGAAACAGGUUGUUUGUCUUAACUGUUCACAGUGAGGAGUUAAGAAGGUUUUUAAGAAAUAACGACAGCAAUUCGACUGACUGAAGGAGGGCCUUGGUCUUGCGAGAGGGAUCAUCUGGGCGGAAGUUCUUGUACUCUUCCACUUCCUUCUCAAUGGACAGCAACUGGCUUUGCAGCUUGUUCCUCAGCCCUGGCAGGGUGUCUCGAAUGUGAUUGGUAAGGCGUCCCCAUGCGCUCAGCCAGGUGACGAUAGGAAGGGUGGCUGAGGAAGAACUUCCUCUCAGCAGUCAUGGCAGCAGUAAUGUCCUUUUUUCCAUCAAUAUCUUUUUGACUGCGGUUCACGACUCCGACGUAGCCUAUUGGUGGCAUCAGACAUCAGUAGGCCAGAUCACAGGCUUGUAUUUUAUGAGGUGUACAAGAAUACUCAGUACGUUUACAUGGACAACAAUAAGCCAAUAUUAACCCGAUUAAGAUGAUACUCUGAUUAAGAAACUAGCAUGUAAACAGCGAUUAUUGAUGACCUUAAUCCAACUAAAAUCAUACUCGAGGUAAACACAAAUCGAAUUAAGACCUAUGGAGUUUUCCUGUUUUAGUCGCAUUAUCGACAUGUAUUACAGACAUGUACACACCUUAAUCACACUACUAACGUCGUGUGGGAGUUUUCACCGCAUUUUGCGACAGGACAUGUACACACAUGGCAGUGUUCAACCAUUUAACGGCAAACAAGAGAGCACGGCUGCAUCCGAAACUGCAUAAAUACCUACUAUAUAGUAGGCGAAAUACACGUAUCUCAGCUACUAUAUAGACGGUAAAUAUGCUGUUUGGGACGCAGCCCAAGGCUUCAAUCAAUUGUCUAUUAGCAUGUAUAGCAUGACAAAUAAUUAACUGCACUCGAAACUUUCGUAAAAUUAAAAUUGAAACACCCAAAACUGUAUACGGUACCAUAACGAAGAUGAACUGUAUGUUGAUACGUGAAAUUCUGGAGGGAAUGUCGGACGGCGUGGUGUGGGGACGUAAUGACGUGUGCUGUUAAUCGAUCUAUGUUCUAUAACAUGUAAAACGGAAACAUGAAAGGCAUAUUCUAAACGCAACUCAUGUAAACACCUUAAUCAGACUAUUGUCUUAUUCAGAAUAAGGUCAAGAAUUAGAUUACUGCUGUCCACGUAAACAUAGUCCAUGAUUCUCAGUAGUAGAUGGCCAAGGAUCCAUAUCUGAGAUCCAUGAUUUUUUUAAUGGCAUUACAGAUGUUUAAAGAUGUUUCAGUUCUCAUAGUUUUAAACCUAAUUGUCUGUUUAACUCAAAAAUCCAAAACAAAACUAAAUCAUGUCAAUUCCAUCUUACUGCAAUUUUAAUCAUACUUAGAAAAGUGUAUACUGUGGGUGGAAAGUGUAGGUUUUAAAACUUUGUAUGUAAAUGUAGUGCUGUGGGUAGUGUUGCCACCUCACAGCUCCAGGGUCUGUGGAUUGAUCAUGAGUUUGGCUUAUGUGUGUGCAGAGUUUCACAUGUUCUCCCCAGUUCAUGUGGGUUUCCUCCGGGUUCUCUAAUUUCCUCCUACCUUGCAAAUAUAUGACAGUAGCUUGAUUGGCUAAGAUAAAUUGACCCUAUAUGUGAAUGAACAUGUACAUUUGUGUGCAAAACUCAACACAGACAGUAAGUCAAGCUCAGGUUUGAACUAAGAACCCUAGAGACAGCGACACUUCAUUAUAAGGGAAUCAGCAGAUUUUUGUAUUUAUUGAAAUAACUCUCUAGCUACAAAAGUUUUGAUAACCCCUGGUCUAUAGCAGCAGGUUUUAUGCCCUCAUUUCGUUUUAGUUAAUGCAGAUGGAUAUUCACCUAGAAAGACACAUUAAUGAAGAGUAUCUUUUAAUGAAUCCUUUAAUGACACAUUAAUGAAGAUUAUCCAGCGCUGAUCUAAAAAUAAUUUGCUGACUCAGCAAUGAUGCACAUUGCAUUAUGGAUUGGGGACAGCAUGAACUUAAUAUACUUUUGUGAUUUACCUCUACGCAGAGGAAGGAGCUUGUUCUCCAAGAUAUCACGUGCAUCCGUACCCUCAUCCAUCAGGUCCAGUUUAGUGAUCACACCAAUUGUUCUCACACCUGCUCAGAGACACGCACAUACACAUGAGCUAUUAUGUAUAGUCACACACAAAAAAUAAAACUGAACACAAAUACGAAUACUUCAAAAGAAACAUCUUGAAUUUUUUUUUAAAUAACAUCCCUUGAUGUCACUCACCUAUCAUUAAAAACUAUAGCACCUACUUUUUACACAUUCAGCACAUCUGGCCAUUUAAGACAUGUAGUCACUCAGAAGAUAAACACACUAGAAAUGACUGAUAGACUGAUAUGGAUUGAACACUGUAUUUCACACCUUGA